RNAcentral lists this long non-coding RNA (1508 nucleotides) under Homo sapiens (human). RNAcentral describes it as "HSALNT0138388". Lineage: Eukaryota; Metazoa; Chordata; Mammalia; Primates; Hominidae. The record is from RNAcentral.
ACACACACACACACACACCGGCGUACUGGAACCUCUCUCGCGAUCCCGCACCCAGCUUGAAUUCAGCAAGAAUCGAAAACAGGUGUGCCCCCGUGGCCAACAACCGUCGUAUCUACAGCGAUCCUUAGAGAACAAUUAAGGCCAGUUGACAGUAAAGAACAAUCAGUGUGUAUUUGAAGUCCAUGCUGAGAGAGCAUCAAUCUUCUGGCAGCUGCAAGACUGACCUAUCAACCGAGGCAUUUCUUCAUUCCCUGCCAUUGUCUCCUCCUCUUGAGAUCGCCAUCAGGCACAGUCACUUUUCUACAAACAGGCAAUAGGACUCCCGCUGCCACCCUGCCCAGAUUUUAGUCCUCUACUGCUGAUAAAGUGAGCAAAGAUACGUGGCACUUCCUGAACCCAAAUACUCUUCUGAGCUGAUUCUAAAUCCACACAGAAUCAACCUACCUCCUAUUACCUCCUUCCAAGCUCUGUGUCCCAUUCUCUCAUUUCAGUCUCAGCUCCAGACAUCAGUGAAUUCAAUGUGAUACAUCAGGGGACAUCACAGGACUUCCCUACUUGAAAAUCAAGCAAUCGUGUCCCUGAAACACUCUGUCUUUAUUCAUGCUCAGUUACCGUAAAGUAGAUGCAACUCUAAGAACCUAUGGAUUUUUUUAUUGCCACUAAUAGAUCAUGAUUUACAGCAAAAUUUUAAAAGGUCCAAUUUUACUCACAUAAGAAGAAGAAAACAUUCAGCAAGAAGCAUUUCUUUUGCUUUAUCUUUCCCAGUUAAAUAUGACUUUAAAAAAGACAAAAUUUUAAAAGGUCCAAUUUUACUCACAAAAGAAGAAGAGGGGCGGUUCGAAGAUGGCCGAAUAGGAACAGCUCCAGUCUGCAGCUCCCAGCUUGAGCGACACAGAAGACGGGUGAUUCCUGCAUUUCCAACUGAGGACUGCCGAAGCUGAGAGUAACUACCCCUGGUUUCAUUUCCAACUCAUGAAUUUUUCGCCAUCCUUCUCUGCCCGCCUUUCCUUUACUACACAGUGAGCCGCACUCCUGGAACAAGCUUCCCUUGAAGUUCACCCUCUGAGCGCCACGGCCCCUCUCCAGCCUGCAUUCCACUGUAAGGUUGAGAAAUAUCUGAUUGUUAGUGAUGAGAGAGAAAACCUAGCCUCAUUCUCUGGUGGCCUGUCUUGCAAAAGAGAGAUGAAAUCAAACCUGGCUUCCUGAGAGUUCCUGUUUGGCAAAACCAGCAACAUCUGGGCCCACACUACAAAAGGACCCAGAAAAUAUAGUUUAUAGCUUCCUAGCCCCUUUGAUACAGAAAAGCAUGCAAGAAAGGUGGACCAGUCAUCUGCAUCUGUCACAAAAUUGCCCUAAGAACCAGCUUGUCAGCCAUAGAAGAAAACUGUAUCUCAUUAUUUUAUGUUCACAUUUUGCUUUUUGAGAGAAAGCACUGUGAGUAGAUUUGAUCAGAUACUUUAUUUGUGUUGUUGGUUCUGAAAAUCUUUUUAAUCCCCAAAAAAUAAAAU